GAUGAACGCUGGCGGCGUGCCUAAUACAUGCAAGUCGAGCGAACGGACGAGAAGCUUGCUUCUCUGAUGUUAGCGGCGGACGGGUGAGUAACACGUGGAUAACCUACCUAUAAGACUGGGAUAACUUCGGGAAACCGGAGCUAAUACCGGAUAAUAUUUUGAACCGCAUGGUUCAAAAGUGAAAGACGGUCUUGCUGUCACUUAUAGAUGGAUCCGCGCUGCAUUAGCUAGUUGGUAAGGUAACGGCUUACCAAGGCAACGAUGCAUAGCCGACCUGAGAGGGUGAUCGGCCACACUGGAACUGAGACAGGGUCCAGACUCCUACGGGAGGCAGCAGUAGGGAAUCUUCCGCAAUGGGCGAAAGCCUGACGGAGCAACGCCGCGUGAGUGAUGAAGGUCUUCGGAUCGUAAAACUCUGUUAUUAGGGAAGAACAUAUGUGUAAGUAACUGUGCACAUCUUGACGGUACCUAAUCAGAAAGCCACGGCUAACUACGUG
This 497-nucleotide ribosomal RNA is filed under the name uncultured bacterium. RNAcentral's name for it is "partial 16S ribosomal RNA". It matches the Rfam family "Bacterial small subunit ribosomal RNA", at positions 28 to 507 of the family's 1533-position model. The record is from RNAcentral.